Molecule: unclassified non-coding RNA, 376 nt
Filed under: Hevea brasiliensis (rubber tree)
Lineage: Eukaryota; Viridiplantae; Streptophyta; Magnoliopsida; Malpighiales; Euphorbiaceae
Source: RNAcentral
UUAACACACGAAUAGUGCAGACCAUCAUUGAUUCCCACUCAUUUUGACAUAUAUAUAACACCCAACUUGUAAUUUGGACUUAUACUCUACACAGAUGACAUGAAGUGAAACAUUAGCUCCAGUAUAAACAAAUUUUAGUAACUAUUCUGUAGAUGUCUUGCUUUUAAUCUUGGCGAAUUCCAGGGUUUUCUUCCCUUGUAACUUAUUAGUUACGUAGUGUUUGUUGUAUUCUCCAUGAGUGUAUCUCCUAUACUUGCAUGGGUUGUUCUCAUCCACGAGUUCUGGCAUGGGUCCAAGCUCUAUUUCAUAGCUUGGGGCAUAGAAGUUGACAAUAGAGAGACGGUCUUUUUCCUUAUGAGUCACUGCCCUGUGUUCA